RNAcentral lists this ribosomal RNA (334 nucleotides) under uncultured bacterium. RNAcentral describes it as "bacterial SSU rRNA". It matches the Rfam family "Bacterial small subunit ribosomal RNA", at positions 45 to 406 of the family's 1533-position model. The record is from RNAcentral.
UGCCUAACACAUGCAAGUCGAACGUGGAUCUUCGGAUCUAGUGGCGCACGGGUGCGUAACGCGUGGGACUCUGCCCUUGGGUUCGGAAUAGCAGUUAGAAAUGACUGCUAAUACCGGAUGAAGUCUACGGACCAAAGAUUUAUCGCCCAGGGAUGAGCCCGCGUAGGAUUAGCUAGUUGGUGGGGUAAAGGCCUACCAAGGCGACGAUCCUUAGCUGGUCUGAGAGGAUGAUCAGCCACACUGGGACUGAGACACGGCCCAGACUCCUACGGGAGGCAUCAGUGGGGAAUAUUGGACAAUGGGGGCAACCCUGAUCCACCAAUGCCGCGUGAUG